This 242-nucleotide ribosomal RNA is filed under the name uncultured Lactobacillus sp. RNAcentral's name for it is "partial 16S ribosomal RNA". It matches the Rfam family "Bacterial small subunit ribosomal RNA", at positions 123 to 357 of the family's 1533-position model. Lineage: Bacteria; Bacillati; Bacillota; Bacilli; Lactobacillales; Lactobacillaceae. The record is from RNAcentral.
AACCUCGCCCCAUAGUCUGGGAUACCACUUGGAAACAGGUGCUAAUACCGGAUAAGAAAGCGGAUCGCAUGAUCAGCUUUUAAAAGGCGGCGUAAGCUGUCGCUAUGGGAUGGCCCCGCGGUGCAUUAGCUAGUUGGUAAGGUAAAGGCUUACCAAGGCGAUGAUGCAUAGCCGAGUUGAGAGACUGAUCGGCCACAUUGGGACUGAGACACGGCCCAAACUCCUACGGGAGGGCAGCAGAC